GAUGAGCGCUGGCGGCGUGCCUAAUACAUGCAAGUCGAGCGAACAGACGAGGAGCUUGCUCCUCUGACGUUAGCGGCGGACGGGUGAGUAACACGUGGAUAACCUACCUAUAAGACUGGGAUAACUUCGGGAAACCGGAGCUAAUACCGGAUAAUAUAUUGAACCGCAUGGUUCAAUAGUGAAAGACGGUUUUGCUGUCACUUAUAGAUGGAUCCGCGCCGCAUUAGCUAGUUGGUAAGGUAACGGCCUACCAAGGCAACGAUGCGUAGCCGACCUGAGAGGGGGAUCGGCCACACGGGAGCUGAGACACGGUCCAGACUCCUACGGGAGGCAGCAGUAGGGAAUCUUCCGCAAUGGGCGAAAGCCUGACGGAGCAACGCCGCGUGAGUGAUGAAGGUCUUCGGAUCGUAAAACUCUGUUAUUAGGGAAGAACAAAUGUGUAAGUAACUAUGCACGUCUUGACGGUACCUAAUCAGAAAGCCACGGCUAACUACGUG
RNAcentral lists this ribosomal RNA (497 nucleotides) under uncultured bacterium. RNAcentral describes it as "partial 16S ribosomal RNA". It matches the Rfam family "Bacterial small subunit ribosomal RNA", at positions 28 to 507 of the family's 1533-position model. The record is from RNAcentral.